Molecule: ribosomal RNA, 253 nt
Filed under: uncultured bacterium
Lineage: Bacteria
Description: partial 16S ribosomal RNA
Rfam family: Bacterial small subunit ribosomal RNA
Source: RNAcentral
UACGAAGGGUGCAAGCGUUACUCGGAAUUACUGGGCGUAAAGCGUGCGUAGGUGGUUUGUUAAGUCUGAUGUGAAAGCCCUGGGCUCAACCUGGGAACGGCAUUGGAAACUGGCUUACUAGAGUGCGGUAGAGGGGUGUGGAAUUCCCGGUGUAGCAGUGAAAUGCGUAGAUAUCGGGAAGAACACCGGUGGCGAAGGCGGCGCUCUGGACCGAGACUGACGCUGAGGCGCGAAAGCGUGGGGAGCAAACAGG